AUGCCUAGGAAAUUGCCCUGAUGUGGGGGAUAACCAUUGGAAACGAUGGCUAAUACCGCAUGAUGCCUACGGGCCAAAGAGGGGGACCUUCGGGCCUCUCGCGUCAGGAUAUGCCUAGGUGGGAUUAGCUAGUUGGUGAGGUAAGGGCUCACCAAGGCGACGAUCCCUAGCUGGUCUGAGAGGAUGAUCAGCCACACUGGAACUGAGACACGGUCCAGACUCCUACGGGAGGCAGCAGUGGGGAAUAUUGCACAAUGGGCGCAAGCCUGAUGCAGCCAUGCCGCGUGUAUGAAGAAGGCCUUCGGGUUGUAAAGUACUUUCAGUCGUGAGGAAGGCGGUGUCGUUAAUAGCUGCAUUGUUUGACGUUAGCGACAGAAGAAGCACCGGCUAACUCCGUGCCAGCAGCCGCGGUAAUACGGAGGGUGCGAGCGUUAAUCGGAAUUACUGGGCGUAAAGCGCAUGCAGGUGGUUUGUUAAGUCAGAUGUGAAAGCCCGGGGCUCAACCUCGGAAUAGCAUUUGAAACUGGCAGACUAGAGUACUGUAGAGGGGGGGUAGAAUUUCAGGUGUAGCGGUGAAAUGCGUAGAGAUCUGAAGGAAUACCGGUGGGCGAAGGCGGCCCCCCUGGACAGAUACUGACACUCAGAUGCGAAAGCGUGGGGGAGCAAACAGGAUUAGAUACCCUGGGUAGUCCACGCCGUAAACGAUGUCUACUUGGAAGGUUGUGGCCCUUGAGCCCGUGGCUUUUCGGAAGCUAACGCGUUAAGUAGACCGCCUGGGGAGUACGGUCGCAAGAUUAAAAACUCAAAUGAAUUG
RNAcentral lists this ribosomal RNA (814 nucleotides) under Vibrio rotiferianus. RNAcentral's name for it is "bacterial SSU rRNA". It matches the Rfam family "Bacterial small subunit ribosomal RNA", at positions 113 to 912 of the family's 1533-position model. The record is from RNAcentral. Lineage: Bacteria; Pseudomonadati; Pseudomonadota; Gammaproteobacteria; Vibrionales; Vibrionaceae.